CAGUAGCCGCGGUAAUACGUAGGUGGCAAGCGUUGUCCGGAAUUAUUGGGCGUAAAGGGCUCGCAGGCGGUUUCUUAAGUCUGAUGUGAAAGCCCCCGGCUCAACCGGGGAGGGUCAUUGGAAACUGGGAAACUUGAGUGCAGAAGAGGAGAGUGGAAUUCCACGUGUAGCGGUGAAAUGCGUAGAGAUGUGGAGGAACACCAGUGGCGAAGGCGACUCUCUGGUCUGUAACUGACGCUGAGGAGCGAAAGCGUGGGGAUCAAACAGGAUUAGAGACCCCGGUAGUCCCUGUCUCUUAUAC
This 301-nucleotide ribosomal RNA is filed under the name uncultured bacterium. RNAcentral's name for it is "partial 16S ribosomal RNA". It matches the Rfam family "Bacterial small subunit ribosomal RNA", at positions 509 to 807 of the family's 1533-position model. The record is from RNAcentral.